UACGUAGGCAGCAAGCGUUGUUCGGAGUUACUGGGCGUAAAGCGUGCGUAGGUGGUUCGUUAAGUCUGAUGUGAAAGCCCUGGGCUCAACCUGGGAAUGGCAUUGGAAACUGGCGAUCUAGAGUGCGGUAGAGGGUAGUGGAAUUCCCGGUGUAGCAGUGAAAUGCGUAGAGAUCGGGAGGAACAUCUGUGGCGAAGGCGACUGCCUGGACCAGCACUGACACUGAGGCACGAAAGCGUGGGGAGCAAACAGG
RNAcentral lists this ribosomal RNA (253 nucleotides) under uncultured bacterium. RNAcentral's name for it is "partial 16S ribosomal RNA". It matches the Rfam family "Bacterial small subunit ribosomal RNA", at positions 524 to 776 of the family's 1533-position model. The record is from RNAcentral.